RNAcentral lists this ribosomal RNA (492 nucleotides) under uncultured bacterium. RNAcentral describes it as "partial 16S ribosomal RNA". It matches the Rfam family "Bacterial small subunit ribosomal RNA", at positions 29 to 507 of the family's 1533-position model. The record is from RNAcentral.
AGUGAACGCUGGCGGUAGGCCUAACACAUGCAAGUCGAACGGCAGCAAUGUAAGAGCUUGCUCUUAUGGGUGGCGAGCGGCGGACGGGUGAGGAAUACAUAGGCAUCUAACUUUUUGCGGGGGAUAAAGCUGGGGAAAUUAAGACAAAAACGCCAUCGCCCUUUGGGUUGACGUCGGGGUACUUCGGAACAUGCGUGAUUGAUUGAGCGGAUGUCGGCUUAGCUAGUUGGUGGGGUAAAGGCGCACCAAGGCGACGAUCCGUAGCUGGUCUGAUAUGAUGGUCAGCCACACUGGAACUGAAACGCGGUCCAGACUCCUACGGGAGGCGACGGUGGGGAGUAUUAGACAGGGGGCGCGAGCCUGAUCCAACCAUACCACGUAGGGGAAAGAAGCCUGCGGGUUGUAGAUCCCUUUUGUUGGGAAAGGAAAGCAGCGGGUUAAUACCCCACUGUUCUGACGGUACCCAAAGAAUAAGCACCGGCUAACUUCGUG